RNAcentral lists this ribosomal RNA (428 nucleotides) under uncultured Bilophila sp. Its description in RNAcentral is "partial 16S ribosomal RNA". It matches the Rfam family "Bacterial small subunit ribosomal RNA", at positions 355 to 774 of the family's 1533-position model. The record is from RNAcentral. Lineage: Bacteria; Pseudomonadati; Thermodesulfobacteriota; Desulfovibrionia; Desulfovibrionales; Desulfovibrionaceae.
UGGGGAAUAUUGCGCAAUGGGCGAAAGCCUGACGCAGCGACGCCGCGUGAGGGAUGAAGGUCUUCGGAUCGUAAACCUCUGUCAGGGGGGAAGAACCGCACAGGAGCGAACAGGUCUUGUGUCUGACGGUACCCCCAAAGGAAGCACCGGCUAACUCCGUGCCAGCAGCCGCGGUAAUACGGAGGGUGCGAGCGUUAAUCGGAAUCACUGGGCGUAAAGCGCACGUAGGCGGCUAUUCAAGUCGGGGGUGAAAUCCCGGGGCUCAACCUCGGAACUGCCUUCGAAACUGGAUGGCUUGAGUACCGGAGAGGGUGGCGGAAUUCCAGGUGUAGGAGUGAAAUCCGUAGAUAUCUGGAGGAACACCGGUGGCGAAGGCGGCCACCUGGACGGUAACUGACGCUGAGGUGCGAAAGCGUGGGUAGCAAACA